RNAcentral lists this ribosomal RNA (588 nucleotides) under uncultured bacterium. RNAcentral describes it as "bacterial SSU rRNA". It matches the Rfam family "Bacterial small subunit ribosomal RNA", at positions 239 to 824 of the family's 1533-position model. The record is from RNAcentral.
CAUUAGCUAGUUGGCGGGGUAACGGCCCACCAAGGCGACGAUGCGUAGGGGUUCUGAGAGGAAGGUCCCCCACACUGGUACUGAGACACGGACCAGACUCCUACGGGAGGCAGCAGUGAGGAAUAUUGGUCAAUGGGCGCGAGCCUGAACCAGCCAUGCCGCGUGAAGGUCAGUGCCCUAUGGGCGUUAAACUUCUUUUGUGCGGGAGCAAUAAUGGUCACGUGUGGCCAGACGAGAGUACCGUACGAAUAAGCAUCGGCUAACUCCGUGCCAGCAGCCGCGGUAAUACGGGGGAUGCAAGCGUUAUCCGGAUUUAUUGGGUUUAAAGGGUGCGUAGGCUGUGAGGUAAGUCAGCGGUGAAAUGCCCCCGCUCAACGGGGUGAAGUGCCAUUGAUACUGCCUUGCUGGAAUGCGGAUGCCGUGGGAGGAAUGUGUGGUGUAGCGGUGAAAUGCAUAGAUAUCACACAGAACACCGAUUGCGAAGGCAUCUCACGAAUCCGCGAUUGACGCUGAUGCACGAAAGCGUGGGUAUCAAACAGGAUUAGAUACCCUGGUAGUCCACGCUGUAAACGAUGAUGACUAACCGUC